CUGGCUCAGGAUGAACGCUAGCUACAGGCUUAACACAUGCAAGUCGAGGGGCAGCAUGAGCUUAGCUUGCUAAGCUGAUGGCGACCGGCGCACGGGUGAGUAACGCGUAUCCAACCUUCCCCUUAGUAGGGCAUAGCCCGGUGAAAAUCGGAUUAAUACCCUAUGUUCUUCACAGCGGGCAUCUAACGUGAAGCAAAGGUUCACCGCUAAGGGAUGGGGAUGCGUCUGAUUAGGUAGUCGGCGGGGUAACGGCCCACCGAGCCAUCGAUCAGUAGGGGUUCUGAGAGGAAGGUCCCCCACAUUGGAACUGAGACACGGUCCAAACUCCUACGGGAGGCAGCAGUGAGGAAUAUUGGUCAAUGGGCGUGAGCCUGAACCAGCCAAGUAGCGUGCAGGAUGACGGCCCUAUGGGUUGUAAACUGCUUUUAUGCGGGGAUAAAGUCACCCACGUGUGGGUGUUUGCAGGUACCGCAUGAAUAAGGACCGGCUAAUUCCGUGCCAGCCGCGGC
RNAcentral lists this ribosomal RNA (509 nucleotides) under uncultured bacterium. RNAcentral describes it as "bacterial SSU rRNA". It matches the Rfam family "Bacterial small subunit ribosomal RNA", at positions 19 to 518 of the family's 1533-position model. The record is from RNAcentral.